Molecule: long non-coding RNA, 2065 nt
Filed under: Rattus norvegicus (Norway rat)
Lineage: Eukaryota; Metazoa; Chordata; Mammalia; Rodentia; Muridae
Description: long non-coding RNA NONRATT032252
Source: RNAcentral
UGCGGACCUCUGAGAAUGUAGUUCCAGUCCAUUUCUGUUCCGUUAUUAAGGACUCUAAACUCAAGCUAUACAGCAGCUGCCGGUGGGGGAUGAGAGGGGAGAAGAGAAAAAUAUCAGAAAAAUGCUUCACUCAUGCUCGCCCACUCAGGAGAUGGAAGUGCCAUUCAGGAGGGCUGGAAGCUAAGGUCUCCCUCUUCAGAGCUCAGGGCUUUAGCACAUGGAGGGACAGCAGCCACUGCUGCUUCUUAAACAGAGGCCUUGUUGCACCCAGUGUCAAAGAGCCCACAAGUAACCGAGCUGUACUUUGGAAGUGGGUCUGAUGAGCCUUUUAAUAGGAGAAAAUCAUCAUUAUUUCCCAAGAGUUCACAUUCCCAUAACAUUUUUAUUAGCAGCCUCUCUUCUAAAUAAAGUUCAGUGGAUUGACUUCGGCGGCGCCUUCUCAUUUUGAACAUUCCCUUAAGUUAUGGCCGUGGAUGUCGUCCCCAUCAUCACCGCUGAUAACAUCAGCAUCAGCAGCUCCAUUGUGAUGCUGUUUAUGCUGCACUUAAGGAAGCUCUCAAAACUCUUCAGGUAUAUUACCUCAUUCAUCCUCAUCUCUUCCUACGCAGGGGACCAGCAUAACGAGAGCACACGCGGGACAGAUCUCUCUGUUCUCUGCCUCUGCGAGCUACCUUUCUGUGUAGAUAAUAUCGAUUGUUAGUUAGACAGGACUUAGAAUCACUAUGGCAACAUGACUCUGGUAUUCGUGCGGGUGUUCCCGGAAAGGUAUGAUGUGGCACUUUUGGAUGUGGGUGGCACCAUCCCCUGGUCCUAGUCCGAAUAAUAACACAGAGGGUUUUCAUUUCUCUCUGUUUCCUAAGUGUGGAUGCGGUAAGACCUGUUGCUUCCUGGUCCUGUUGCCAUGGUGAUCUAGCUGUGCCCUCGAACUGUGUGCUAAAGACCCACCCCCUUCUGUAAGUUGCUUUUCUCCGGUGUUUGUCACGGCAUCAAGAAAAACAACAAACACUUGCACUCCAUGAAAUUUGAAACGAGCUCAACAUCUCCAAAGGGACUGACUGGCUUUUAGAAAAGCAUGUGCCACACUUGUGUUGACCAGUGUUUAGAAUGCACAUGAUUUUAUGUGGAAUAACUUCGAUGCCCAGUUUAUAGCGUGCCUUUGAAAGGAUGGGCCUGUGUGCUUGCUCCAGGCUGACUGACCAUCUAGUGGGUAAAAUGUUUACCAGUGCUGUCCAGGCGAAGCCAAACUAGGUGAGGCUGAAGGGACUUGUUAGAGCAUGCAGGUCAACUUCUUCAUUCCCUGAUGAGAGAUGGUUCAAUUCGAGGAUGCCGUGAUGUCGUUUGCUCUUGACUUUCAGAAGAAUAGAGAAGGAAGAAAAUGUUUCUUUCUGGUGAUCAAGACAGAACAAUUGGUCUGUAUUUCACAUAUGUCAAGAGCCUUAUUGCUGUACUUGGACAUAGUGGAUGGCAGGAGGGCUGACAGGGACAAACUUUGUACCUCACGUGGCUGAAAGGUGGACAAUUCCAUGCUUGGGAGAGCCAUGUGUGGUGAAGUUAGUCUAUCCUGCUGCAAUCCCAAAUACCUCUUGGUAAGCACCUUCUCUCAAGGCCAACACAUUGGAUUUAGAUCCCACACAAGUGUGAGUGGGGACAAAAUAUUAAAUAUUAAAGCCAUGGCAGAGGCUAUUGGAUCAACGUGUGAAUGCACUUGACUUCCUGUAACUUGCAGCCAUGAAAAUUAGCACUGCCUGUGAUAUAUUUGUUCUGUGUGAGCACUACCCUGUGGUCCCACAUAACUCUGUCUAGCACUGUUCUAUGAACAAAUGAUCCCUCUUUCCAGAAAAGGAAAUGUGGGCCCAGAAAUGCUAAGUAACUUGUCUAAAUAUCGAAAGAUACAAAUGCAAGUUUUGAGCCCAAGGUUGUUUGUCUUCAAAGUACUUCUCAGUUACUUCUAUUUCUAAGAAAUAUUUUGUUGGGUGAGAUUUGCUGGAAUCCAAAUCAAAAGGCAUCAGCCUUGCAAACAUCAAGUCAAAACCGUGAAGUGCUCUUACAAAAUACAGUGAUGGUG